UACGGAGGGUGCGAGCGUUAAUCGGAAUUACUGGGCGUAAAGCGCGCGUAGGCGGUUUGAUAAGUCAGAUGUGAAAUCCCCGGGCUUAACCUGGGAAUGGCAUUUGAUACUGUCUGACUCGAGUGUGGUAGAGGGAAGUGGAAUUCCGCAUGUAGCGGUGAAAUGCGUAGAUAUGCGGAGGAACACCAGUGGCGAAAGCGGCUUCCUGGACCAACACUGACGAUGAGGUGCGAAAGCGUGGGGAGCAAACAGG
This 253-nucleotide ribosomal RNA is filed under the name uncultured bacterium. Its description in RNAcentral is "partial 16S ribosomal RNA". It matches the Rfam family "Bacterial small subunit ribosomal RNA", at positions 524 to 776 of the family's 1533-position model. The record is from RNAcentral.